UACAGAGGGGGCAAGCGUUGUUCGGAAUUACUGGGCGUAAAGGGCGCGUAGGCGGCCUUCUAAGUCGAACGUGAAAUCCCUGGGCUCAACCCAGGAACUGCGUCCGAUACUGGAAGGCUUGAAUCCGGGAGAGGGAUGCGGAAUUCCGGGUGUAGCGGUGGAAUGCGUAGAGAUCCGGAAGAACACCGGAGGCGAAGGCGGCUUGCUGGGCGUGAUCUGACGCUGAGGCGCGAAAGCGUGGGGAGCGAACAGG
This 253-nucleotide ribosomal RNA is filed under the name uncultured bacterium. Its description in RNAcentral is "partial 16S ribosomal RNA". It matches the Rfam family "Bacterial small subunit ribosomal RNA", at positions 524 to 776 of the family's 1533-position model. The record is from RNAcentral.